RNAcentral lists this ribosomal RNA (435 nucleotides) under uncultured prokaryote. Its description in RNAcentral is "bacterial SSU rRNA". It matches the Rfam family "Bacterial small subunit ribosomal RNA", at positions 342 to 791 of the family's 1533-position model. The record is from RNAcentral.
CGGGGGGCAGCAGUGGGGAAUAUUCUGCAAUGGGCGAAAGCCUGACAGAGCAAUACCGCGUGAGGGAUGAAGGCCUGUGGGUCGUAAACCUCUUUUUUCAAGGAGGAAAUUUUGACGUGUACUUGAAGAAUAAGCAUCGGCUAACUCUGUGCCAGCAGCCGCGGUAAGACAGAGGAUGCAAGUGUUAUCCGGAAUUACUGGGCGUAAAGCGUUUGUAGGUUGUCUAAUAAGUCAAUUGUUAAAUCUUGAGGCUUAACUUCAAAACAGCAAUUGAUACUGUUAAACUUGAGUAUGGUAGAGGUAAAAGGAAUUUUCAGUGGAGCGGUGAAAUGCGUAGAUAUUGGAAAGAACACCGAUGGCGAAAGCAUUUUACUGGGCCAUAACUGACACUCAGAAACGAAAGCUAGGGGAGCAAAUGGGAUUAGAUACCCGCGU